This 100-nucleotide microRNA precursor is filed under the name Gorilla gorilla gorilla (western lowland gorilla). RNAcentral describes it as "miRNA (ENSGGOG00000042095.1)". Lineage: Eukaryota; Metazoa; Chordata; Mammalia; Primates; Hominidae. The record is from RNAcentral.
GAGGUGGGAGGCUCCCUUGAGCCUGGGAGGUUGAGGGUGCAGUGAGCCGUGAUUGCACCACUGCACUCCAGCCUGAGUGACAGAGCAAGACCUUGUCUCA